RNAcentral lists this long non-coding RNA (7389 nucleotides) under Theobroma cacao (cacao). RNAcentral describes it as "long non-coding RNA (TCAC_LNC001278)". Lineage: Eukaryota; Viridiplantae; Streptophyta; Magnoliopsida; Malvales; Malvaceae. The record is from RNAcentral.
AACAUGGUGUAAAAGCUUAAUAUGUUCAUACAUAUUUUAAAUCAAAUAACUAAAGUAUAAAAUUACUUUUACAAUGACAUGUGGGCCCCCAACUAACCAAUAAGAUACGAGUCUGUGAACCAAUAAUUUUGACAAUGCAAGGCUAACUGAAGUCCUUGAUGCAAUCGGCCAUCUAUCGGCUAUCCCGAACCUGAAAUGUGGGGAAUUGAGGGUGGUGAGAUUAUAAAAUCCCAGUAAGUAAACAAACACCAUCUAAACUAUCUAAAGGCGAGUAAAUGGAGACAAUUAAAAAAUAAUUAACUUCAGCAAAUUUUUCACAUCACGAAUAUUCAUUUCAACCAAAUAACCAAUAUGGCUCAUGAAUUACUCAAAACUUGGCUCAUGCCAAAUCCUGUACUCGGUGACACCUGGACCAGGGGUAUCCAACCGAGCCCGCCAAGGUUGUUAAAAACUCAUAUUUCGCAUAAAUCAUAUUUUUAUUUGAAACAUAGCCGUUCCUUGGUGUUGGCUGAGUCUCACUCUCACUUGGUGGUCCACGUGAAGUGCACUCAAAAAGCCCACCUCAGGAGAUACCCUACGCGCCUCUACGACCGAGGUGAGAAUAUAAAAGAGUUUACCGUGCCCCUCUAAUAGGCUAGCCCACGGAACCCCCCACUACUGCAGUAGCUAAUCUUUUAUCUACCACCUGAUUUAUAAAAUCUUUUUCUGCAUGGCAUGGCAAUUUAUCGCAACCUAGCCUCUCAAGGCUAAAUACAUAGUACAAAUCAUUCUAACACCAAAAUCAGUUUCGCCAUUCAUGCUCAUUUAUUGUCAUAAGCCAUUCAAUUUAAAACCAUAAAUUUACAACACAAGCAGGCAGUUUUCAAUUACUCUAUUUUCAAAACCAGUAUUCGAUUUUCCAGAAAAUUUACAAAAUCAUUUUAUAAAAUCACAAUUUCUCUUAAAACAUUGCAAUUUACCAUUUAAAUCCAUUUUUCAUAAAAUCACACAAUUGUAUAAAACUACUCUAGAUAAUUAAGACGAUAAUAAGUUUACUCACAGUUUUUGAAAACUAAAUUCGGGUACUCCAACUAUUACUCCUCGAGUGCGAUUUCUUUGCCCUUGCCAAAGGAUUCGCCACCUUGACAAAUUGUACAAUUAAGAGGUUUACUACUUUGUUACUAAACCAAAAUAAACUAAUUUAUACUACUAAUGCAUGGUAUGAAGUGCAAAAUGUCUAAAUUUUGCCUAAACGAGAUGUUAGCCUAUUUUGAUCUUUUACCCGAUAAAUCGAUAUACGCGUCCGUUUAAACUCCAAAUUAAUUUUUUUCAAUUUCUAUACCUCAACUGCACCCAAAUUGACUUAAUGUUCCUCAGUGUGGUGCAAAUUAUCAGUCCCGAUAGCAAAUUACAAAAAUACCCCUAGUGGGUAAAAAUUCAUAUUUUUGCUCUGAAAAUUCUCAUUAUUUUUCUAGGCUCAUAAUUCCUCAAAUAAACAUCAAGAUCAGCAGCCAAUAUUCCCCUAGAAAAUUCAGCAUAAUGGGUUUUAAUGGGAGAAAAUUAUUUCUCUAGCUUAUUUUUGCUAUAUUUCAAUAUAACCUAACUAAAAUCACUUAAUUCAAUUAAAAUCAACCAAAACUCAAGCUCAAAACUCAUCCAUGGAGGUUUGGCCAGCAUGGGUGUCCAUACCACUUUCUAAUUUUGCAUGAAAAUGAGAAAAAAAUGCAUGGGUAGUGAAAAUCACAAGGAAAUUCAAUGAAAUUUACCUUUUUAAUGCUUGAUUUCUUGAUUUCUCUUGAUUUUCCCCAAAUUUUUUCAGCUAGGGUUCUUAUUUCUUUUCCCCAUUUUUCUCUCCUGAUUUGGACAGCUGAAGAAGAUGAGAAUUCUGAAAAUUUUGACCUUUUUAAAGGCUAAAAUAAUAUAAUAUUAUUUUAUUCAUUUUUUUUUUGUUUUUUUAUUUCUUAAAUUCUAGCCAUCCAUUUGUUUCCAAAUUUUCACCAUACACUUGUCCCACAUAUCCAUAGCUUAAAUAAAAUUCUCAGACUUAUCCAAAGUCUUGGUGGAGUAAUCUUUUGAAAUUACACUUUUGCCCUCGUAAAAGUCAAAAAUUACAUUUUUGCCCCAAAAACUGAAAAUUUGCCCAUAGACAUAUUUUUCAUCCCUUAUACUCAUACCAUUCUCCAAUUUGUCAAAUGUGAUCUAAAUUCUCUCAAAAUCUCAAAUUUUAUCUACGGGUGGAAAAAUUACGAUUUUGCCCCUACACUCCAAAAAUAACCGAAAUUAACCUUUUUCACUGCCAAACCCUCAAAUUAUACUGCAAUAAGUUUAAUAUAAUCAAUCUUAAUCAAACGGGGUUAAAAACAAUUCCAUAUUCGUCCUCAGGUGGUAAAUUACCAUUUUACCCCUAAAAUACUUAAAGUCCGGAUUAACUCCAUAUCGGACCUUAAACUCUGAAUCCUCAUUUUGGAUCAACUCAUGGGUUUUAGUUUUCUCAAAUUCAUUAUCGAUUCUCUGUUUAAACUAGUUCAAGACUUAUUUAACUGAACCGUACCAUUAGGGGCAAUACAAUCAUUUAACUUGUUUUCUCGGGCAAUUCAAUAUACAAACAUGCUAUCCAAAGCAUGUGAAUGAUAUAUCACAGAUAAUUUAGGGUCGGGUGUUACAGCACUACCCCCCCUUAAAAUAAAAAUUUUGACCUCAAAAUUUCAUUUAUCAAUCUCAAAGAACUAAUCGGGGUAUUAUCUUUUCAUCAUGUCUUAAGUUUAAAUCUUGAACCACCAAGAACCAUUUUUCACUUGAACUGAUCAUAAUAUCAAUCCCUACACAUGUGUGUAUGCCUCAUAAUCCCAUUGGUGCUUCAAAAAUUUAUCUUGACUUGAUCAUUACAUCAUAUGCAAUACCACAAUUUCUUAGAGUCAUCAUUUUGUCCUUAAUCAUCUUUCAUGCCUCUAUAUUACCUUGUAUCUUUCUUGCAUUACGAUAUUGAUUUGUCACUUAAGACUCAAACUCAUUUGAAUCAUGUAUACCUCAAGCAUUUUCGAAUUCCAAUUUUCAUAAUGUAUUAGGAAAAUUUCAUUAUCUAACUUCAUUUUCAAGGUUAACUUCUAUCAUCCUUUGUUCUACUCUUUCAUAUAAAUAUAACAUCAUUCUUCCUUAACCAAUUUACAAAUUGUACCUGAAAUUGUAAAACUUGAAACUAGAUUCUCCUCAAGUAUUUUUCAAUAUUAAUAUGAAUAUCACUUUCAGCUUACAGCUUCCUUUUUAUAAUCACAUAACUUAGUGCUUGCUUUCACGAAAUCCGUAGCAAAACUCUUCUUGAGUAUUUCAUUGGGAAUAUCUAUCUUAGACUUAUGUCUCACAGCAUACGAUCACUUAACUUGUGACUUAGCCGUUAGGCUCCUCAACAAGUUUUAAAAUCACACAUCUUAUACUCAUCUCGUAUAAUGUAUAAUUCUUCCUCAAAGGUAUUUAAAUAUUCUUGAAACACCUAAUCACUUAUUUGCUCUUUCAUACUCCAAGUAUAUCAUUUCCAUAAAGGUAUACCCAACUACUCAUAUUUCAAUUUAUCUCCAAGAGUUUCUAGCAUGUCACCUAGUUUACUUGUGUUGUUACUAAUCCUUUCCUUUCAACAAAGUUAAGACAAGAUCAGUAUAUUCUCAUAACAAUAUUCUAUAUCAACUCAUUUGCUAUAUCAUUAUUGAAAUCUUUAUUUACAUUUUUCCUCACUUGGUAUUGACAUCUCUUAUCAGUAUCUCAUACAUUCAUCUAACCUUUCGCUCGCUUCCUCAUUAGUCUUUAACAAGACUUAAUCUCUUAUCUUCCUUAUUUCUUAAGAUUUGACUUCAGUCAUCAUAUUAUUCAUCUUAACACUCCCCAUGUUAAUUUAUUUUUAUGUAACCAUCUCAAAAACUCUCUAACUUUUCUUUCUCUUACAUGCCAAUAUACAAGGCAAUAAAGAAACUUUACAAUUUCACUCAUCAUCUUUAUCUUAAUACCUCCCCAAUGCACUUAAGAUUCCAAACAACAAAGCUUAGCAUGAAAACCAAUGACCAUUCCUCAACUCGUAAGUUUCAUCUUCAUGCCACUCUCAAUUUGCUCAUGCUUGCUAGCCAUUAGGGGUUCUUAACGCGACAGCGUUUGAUAGUCAGUACUGUGGUGUUGCAACUAUUUGAAUUUACUUUAUCCCAGCAAUUCUUCUACCUUUAAAGCUACUACCUCAAUUAUUCACAAUCGUGUGGCUUCCCUUUGAGUCUAUACCACAAUUAGCAAUACUAACUUUCUAUCACAAGUACGCGAUCAGAACAUUGAUUUAAUGUCUUUAUUUUGCCACUAACAUUCAUAUAUCUUUACCAUAACAUUUAGUACGAGUUUGCUUAAGCAAAGAUCUCCAAAUUUAUUCAUAGCUACAUGUAUCUCAGAUUGCACAUCACUUAUCAUCAGUCAAUAAAUCCCACUUUAGAAUACUCUUUCCAUAUUGUAUAGUAACUUCACCAUAUAGUAUCACGACACUCUGUUCCUCCAUUCUACUAUCAUGUAUACUCCACAAAAUUUAAUUAGAAGAUUCACGUACCUUAACUAAUGCUAAUUCCAUUUAAUCAUAUCUUAAAUACUCCAAACUUGUAAAUUACAACUCCAAAUGUAUGUCCAUAUAUUGAUAAUCCUUAUAUAUUUCAUGAAAACUACAACUUACAAACUAGCUUUCUAUCAUAUGCACACUAUUAGAACAUUAACUUCAACAUGUUUAAUUCUCCUUUGGUGAUAUGUUAAGAUCAUUCCUGGAUACAUUUUCAUAUUAACAUUGAUAUGCCUUUACCAUAGCAUUUAGUGCAAAUUUGAUAAAGAAAUUGUCUCCAAAUAACCCUUAAAUACAUAAUUAUCAAAUUGUAUACCACUAAACAUCAAGAUCUUGACUUUAUUCAUCAAUAAUCAAUCACAUUUAUUAAGUGAAUAAUUUACUUAGUUAUUACACCUUGCCUUUGCAAUCAUAAGAUCAAAGUUGUCCUAAACUUAGGAUGCAGAAGUUCUUUAUCUUAGAGUAUAUCCAAACAUCAACAUUUUCUAAAUUCCUUGCUCUGAGGAGAUCACCUUUAAGACUGAUCAUUCAUAUUAUAGGCCACACUUUGAACCGAAUAAACUUUUAAAUUGAUCUUUCAAGUAAUUCGUAUAUCAAUCUCAAUUAUAGAACUUCAUAUGGCACUUAGACUAGAUUCGACAUUUCUAAGUCGUUUAACCUCAAGUUGCUAAUAACACAUCUAGUCCUUUAGUCCCUUGGCUCCUCUUUACUAUGCAUAACAAACUUCAAGCUCAUCCUUAGAGCAGAUUUGUUUACUAACUUCUUACUUCAUGACCACACAUCAAUUAUAGUAAUCAUUAGUACUCACUCUUGAGUUAGUUCACAUGCUUAUAUCCAUGAACUAUAAUAGAUCCAAUCAAUUUUUAAAAUCUCACAAUCACUUAAUUGAAAUCAACACCACUUUUAUAUGGGCAUAACAUGCUCAAUUAACAUAGUGUUUUUAUCUUCAUGCACAUAUGUAUGAAUUUACUCUUACCUCAAUGCUUAAUUUGUACACUCUACCAAAUGAAUAAAUUAUCACGGCCUAUUUGUCCAACUCCAAAUUUCUUCAUCCAUAAUCGGAGGGAUAUAUCAUUUCAUUAAUCUUUCAUUAAGAGCAUUCGUUUUAAGAUCUCUCCAACACUGGCUCGUGGCACGGGUGGCAUCUUAAACCCGAACAACGGCCCUACUUAUGACCUUUGCAUGACAUUAACAAGGAAGUGAAUUACUGAGAACAGGAGUUCCUAUAGCUCCCAUAAGAUCUAUAAGAAAAAUCAAAACAACUUUAAACAACUCCAAAUUCUAUAUACAGAUGCACGUAUUCUAUUCUACCUAACUUGACUUAACUUAACUAACUUAACUUGGGCCAUGCAGUGUCAGUGUGGAUUUCUUAAAACAACUUUAAAACCAAAAACUUUAAAAUCCAAAGCUUUAAAAUGAAAAUUUAUGAUCUUUAAACCAUGCUCUGAUCUCACUUUGAUUGUCACGACCCGAAACACCCAUCAGGUCCGUGACAACCGCCGCGACGUCUCGAUAGGCACUCAUUACCCCAAAUGCCGAUCGGAACCCCGCAUGGCUUAGCAUCAGCUUCCGCAUCUCCCUGGUGAGCGACAGUUAUUAAAUCUUGCAUUUCAAAAAAAUCAUAAGUCGUUUCCAAAUCAAAACAAUAAAAUAUUAUUUUUUGGCUCACAAGGGCAUUUUCGUCAUUUUUCUUCGAUAAUACCGAAACUCACCAAAAACGUGGUGUGAAAGCUUAAUAUGUUCAUACAUAUUUUAAAUCAGAUAACUAAAGUAUAAAAUUACUUUUACAAUGACACAUGGGCCCCCAACUAACUAAUAAGAUGCGAGUCUGUGAACCUAUAAUUUUGACAAUGCAAGGUUAACUGAAGUCCUUGAUGCAAUCAGCCAUCUAUCGGCUAUCCCGAACCUGAAAUGUGGGGAAUUGAGGGUGGUGAGAUUAUAAAAUCCCAGUAAGUAAACAAACACCAUCUAAACUAUCUAAAGGCGAGUAAACGGAGACAAUUAAAAAAUAAUUAACUUCAGCAAAUUUUUCACAUCACGAAUAUUCAUUUCAACCAAAUAAUCAAUAUGGCUCGUGAAUUACUCAAAACUUGGCUCAUGACAAAUCCUGUACUCAGUGACACCUGGACCAGGGGUAUCCAACCGAGCCCGCCAAGGUUGUUAAAAAUUCAUAUUUCGCAUAAAUCAUAUUUUUAUUUUGAAACAUAGCCGUUCCUUGGCGUUGGCUGAGUCUCACUCUCACGCGGUGGUCCACGUGAAGUGCACUCAAAAAGCUCACCUUAGGAGAUACCCUACGCACCUCUACGACCGAGGUGAGAAUAUAAAGGAGUUUACCAUGCCCCUUUAAUAGGCUAGCCCAAGGAACCCCCCACUACUGCAGUAGCUAAUCUUUUAUCUACCACCUGAUUUAUAAAAUCUUUUUCUGCAUAACAUGGCAAUUUAUCGCAACCUAGCCUCUCAAGGCUAAAUACAUAGUACAAAUAAUUCUAACACCAAAAUCAGUUUAGCCAUUCAUGCUCAUUUAUUGUCAUAAGCCAUUCAAUUUAAAACCAUAAAUUUACAACACAAGCAAGCAGUCUCCAAUUACUCUAUUUUCAAAACCAGUAUUCGAUUUUUCAGAAAAUUUAUAAAAUCAUUUUAUAAAUCACAAUUUCUCUUAAAACAUUGCAAUUUACCAUUUAAACCCAUUUUUCAUAAAAUCACACAAUUGUAUAAAACUACUCUAGAUAAUUAAGACGAUAAUAAGUUUACUCACAGUUUUCGAAAACUAAAUUCGGGUACUCCAACUAUUACUCCUCGGGUGCGAUUUCUUUGCCCUUGCCAAAGGAUUCGCCACC